Small nucleolar RNA from Chiloscyllium plagiosum (whitespotted bambooshark), 131 nucleotides. RefSeq annotates it as small nucleolar RNA ACA64. Lineage: Eukaryota; Metazoa; Chordata; Chondrichthyes; Orectolobiformes; Hemiscylliidae. The record is from RefSeq and is a predicted model, not a curated record.
GCACACUGAAAAUUACCUAUGGCACUGCCAAUUACCAUGGGUAAGAUUAGUGUGCCUACAUUAAAUGGUACACUAAAGCUUAUUGCCUACUUUUGUUGUUUGUGGUCAAUAAAACCCGUGUGCCAAUAAAU